AUAUAUAUAUAUAUAUAUAAUAUAUAUUAUAUAUCAGUUGUAUAGAUGAAAAGAGAUUAGAGAGAGUGGCGGAGAGUUUAUUGAUUUGAGAACUGGCAGUAAAUGUAAAAUUAGAAGCAUUUAAUGUAUAUUUCUUUUUUGACGUUCAUAAGUGUACAUUGUGAAUAAAUGAAUCUAUUGAAUAAAUGAUUUUGACUUUUGACUUUUACUGAUUCUUGUUGAAAUUUUAUACAAAAACGAUAUCAAUAUCGCAAUUAUUACAGAGUAAUGCCGCUGAAAUACACUAUCAUGUGGACUGUGGAGGAAGGAAGUUGUGUUCUUCCUCACCCUUAAAGGGUCCUUAAAGCAUCAGCCAGCAUCGGAAUACUGGCUCUUGCAUAUCGGUAUUUUGGAAGGAAUGGCUAAAGUAGCUUUUUAGAAGCUUGGCGUGCUUAGCAUAGCGAUACUGUACUUCACUCCGGACCACCGCUUGCUGUAUGAAGCGCAAAUUGCAAAUAACGGGCAGGAAAUUUACCUAGUGUUAAGUGAUACCACCCAUGGGCACUCGCAUAGCCAGAAAGCUCAUAAGUUCGUUGCCGGACUUUUAACCUUUUUUCCUUCGCCUUAUAAUAAUUGUCUAGAUGUCCUUAGAUCUACUAGAUAUAAUGUAUAUAGCUUAACUACCUAUCAAACACCUAAUAAUAAAGACAAUAAUUUCACAGACUAUAUAAUCGAACGGCAGUCGUAGGAACGUGUGUCAAAUGAUUACUUUAAUAUCACAUUAAUUUUCUUUAAAAUAUUAUCUUGUGUCGUUAAUGUUUAAUUUAUGUUUUCUUUUUUUAUAACUUAAUAGUACAUUAAUAUGUACUUAAUUGACUUAUCCUGUUUCGUGUAUUUGUGUAACAAUGUAAUGUGUGUUGGCUUUGUAUAUCGUUUAAGUAUUUUCUUUUAUAAUAUGGAUGUGUGUGUACCUAUAAAUAAAUAUUGAUUGUGUAAAUA
Long non-coding RNA from Pieris napi, 978 nucleotides. RefSeq lists it as uncharacterized. The transcript is spliced from 2 exons. The record is from RefSeq and is a predicted model, not a curated record. Lineage: Eukaryota; Metazoa; Arthropoda; Insecta; Lepidoptera; Pieridae.